RNAcentral lists this ribosomal RNA (492 nucleotides) under uncultured bacterium. RNAcentral describes it as "partial 16S ribosomal RNA". It matches the Rfam family "Bacterial small subunit ribosomal RNA", at positions 29 to 507 of the family's 1533-position model. The record is from RNAcentral.
AGUGAACGCUGGCGGUAUGCCUAACACAUGCAAGUCGAACGGCAACACAGUAAGCUUUUGCUCUUACGGUUGGCGAGUGGCGGACGGGUGACGCAUACAUCAGCAUCUUCUUUGUCUGGGGUGAUUACGGGGAGAAACUUACGCUAAUACCUCAUACAUCCUACGGGUUGAAUCAAUGGUUCUUCGCGGCUUUCGCGAUUCAUUUAGCCGGUGCCGCAUUAGCUAGUUGGUUUGGUAACGGCCUACCAAGGCAACGAUCCGUAGCUGGCCUGAGAGGAUGAUCAGCCACACUGGAACUGAGACACGGUCCAGACUCCUACGGGAGGCAGCAGUAGGGAAUAUUGCACAAUGGGCGAAAGCCUGAUCCAGCAAUACCGCGUGGGUGAUGAAGGUCUUCGGAUUGUAAAGCCCUGUUAUUGGGGAAGAAAAGAUGUAGAUUAAUCCACGGACGUUUUGACGGUACCCAAAGAGUAAGCACCGGCUAACUUCGUG